GCCUGUGUAGCUCAGCUGGUAGAGCAACGGUAUCGUAAACCGUGGGUCGUCGGUUCGAACCCGACCACAGGCU
RNAcentral lists this transfer RNA (73 nucleotides) under Candidatus Falkowbacteria bacterium CG11_big_fil_rev_8_21_14_0_20_39_10. RNAcentral describes it as "tRNA-Thr". It matches the Rfam family "tRNA". From Rfam's summary of the family: Transfer RNA (tRNA) molecules are approximately 80 nucleotides in length. Their secondary structure includes four short double-helical elements and three loops (D, anti-codon, and T loops). The record is from RNAcentral. Lineage: Bacteria; Candidatus Falkowiibacteriota.